GUGUGACUGGUGACUCCUGCACCAAGGACACAAACGUCAUCUGGAUUCACUUUUAUAUUUUUAUGUGCACCAGGACAAAGUUCAGCGUUAACCAGAGGAAGGUUGAUCUGCAGCGCGUUCUAACGGAGGAUUAAUCUCAGUCCAACGGAUCUAAACUUAUACAUGUGUGAAAUCUGCACUGAUCUGAACCUGGAGUCUGAGGAAAGCAGAUGUAACUAUGACGCCCUGUGACGGAUACGAGCUCAGAAACCCGAUGGAUGAGACCUUCACCAGGCACCGGACCGACCCCAGGCCUGAAGAAACCAACCGGCCGACGAACCCUCCAGAGUUUCCAGCCACUCAGCCACAGAUGAAGAUCAGUCUUUGCCAAGAUUUCACCUUCAACUCACAACCUGCAGUCAGCAAACUCUCGUGUGUGAGGACGAACAGCAGAGGAUACACUCCCGAUUUCUAGAUUCCACCCUGAACCUUGAGGGUCUUUGGAUGGUGGGAUGAAACUGGGAGACCAGCACAGGGAGAACAUGGAACCCAGAACCCUCCGGCUGAGACACAUCACUAAACGUGUAGUGAGUCUUUGAAGCCUCUGGCUGGGAUUGUGUGUCUGGGCUGAGGCGUCUCUCCAGCAUGUUGGACGUCCAGACUCCUUCAUGUGGCUAAAGCUGUUAUCAAACAAGCUGCCGUGAAGCUGAUCAUCUGACUCGUAGCAAAGAGCAAAGCACUAUCUCUUUUUUAUUAUAAUUCUCUGUGACAGAGACUUUAAAUGACGUCAGAAAACUUUAUUUAUCCCACGAGGCCAAUUCAGUUUACAGCUACCACUCAUUCAUAAAACAAUCAUUCAUUAGACACACAACUCUGAAUCAUCAGUAAUCUGCAGCAGGUGCAUGUGCAAAUAUGCAAAAAAUAAGUGUCUGAACGAGGAAAAGAAUCAAUGAUAAAUGAAUAGCAUAAUAAUAAAAAUAAAGAGAAGACUUGUGCGUUAGUGAAGCCACAUUUUAACUACAGUUCAUCUCUCUCAUUGUAGAAUUUGAAUGUUUAUUUUGAGCCUAAUGUAGCAUUAUGUUAUUUUUAUUCAUCAGCUCUUAUGUGUCUAGAGAGAUCUUUUGGUAAAAAGGUAUUUAGAGAGGAGCUGCUGCGUGUUUCCAUGUUUGUGGAGGGGGAGGAAUAUUCCACUGGUCGCUAUCUGCAAACUCACCACAAGGCGGCGCUAAAUCCCACCCAGCGAGUCAGAGUCCGGCUUCGAUGAGGACAUAUUGAACCUUUAGUUAGUCAGAGCCAGUGCUGUAAUGAUUGCUUUACUGGAACAAUUAAUUAUUAAUAUAUCUGAUUUUUUUUAUUGCCGUUUUUAUUUUUGUGUCAUUCACGUCAGUAAUUCUGUGAGCUAAUAAUUUACUAUAGAGUCAGAUGAACAAGAGUUAAUAGAGUGUUGAACUGUAUUUGGUCGUUUGAUAAAGGGGGAAAUCCUGCUUUUAUAAAGUAUGUUCAUGUCUAAAACUUCAUCAUCAUCAUCAUUCUUUGUUUUAUAAAAACAGAAAUAUGAAGCACAGACUGAGCCACGUCGCACCAGAAUCUAAUGUUUCUGGGUUCAAAGUGAAUCAUAAACUGAUCCGUUUAUUGUAGAUGUGGUGAUUUUAACCUGAACAUCAAUAGAUCCUGUUUUUACUGUAUUUUCUAAGGUUUUGUUAUCAUGUUCAUGUUAUUGUGUGUAUCCACUGCCUGUUUAUACCUGUGCAUAUAUUCGUGGCAUCGUUUCAUGAAUAAUAAUGAAUAUUAUUAAUUAAUACCUGUUAAUAUACGACAACGUGGAUAUUUACAGAAAACGUUCAAUACUGUAAAAAACAAUGUUCAUGUUGCUGUUUCUGAUCCGUUAUAGCGACACCAAUAAAAGUCAUGUUUCUUAAAUCA
Mugil cephalus (flathead mullet) is the source of this 1902-nucleotide long non-coding RNA. RefSeq lists it as uncharacterized. The transcript has 5 exons. Lineage: Eukaryota; Metazoa; Chordata; Actinopteri; Mugiliformes; Mugilidae. The record is from RefSeq and is a predicted model, not a curated record.